GGACUACCCGGGUUUCUAAUCCUGUUUGCUCCCCUAGCUUUCGUGCAUCAGCGUCAGUUAUGGUCCAGUGAGCCGCUUUCGCCACAGGUGUUCCUCCUGAUAUCUACGCAUUUCACCGCUACACCAGGAAUUCCACUCACCUCUCCCAUACUCAAGCCCUGCAGUUUCUCAUGCAGUCUAUGAGUUGAGCCCAUAGAUUUCACAUAAGACUUACAAAACCGCCUACGCACCCUUUACGCCCAAUAAUUCCGAACAACGCUCGCCCCCCUCGUAUUACCGCGGCUGCUGGCAC
Molecule: ribosomal RNA, 292 nt
Filed under: uncultured Acidobacteriota bacterium
Lineage: Bacteria; Pseudomonadati; Acidobacteriota
Description: uncultured Acidobacteria bacterium partial 16S ribosomal RNA
Source: RNAcentral